GGCCUGGUGGUCUAGUAGUAUGAUUCCUUCUUAGGGUGAUCCUGGGUAUUACAGGUUUACUGGAUUUGGAGGAGGUCCCGGGUUCAAUUCCCGGCCAGGCCC
This is a transfer RNA of 102 nucleotides. It matches the Rfam family "tRNA". From Rfam's summary of the family: Transfer RNA (tRNA) molecules are approximately 80 nucleotides in length. Their secondary structure includes four short double-helical elements and three loops (D, anti-codon, and T loops).